This 468-nucleotide ribosomal RNA is filed under the name uncultured bacterium. RNAcentral's name for it is "partial 16S ribosomal RNA". It matches the Rfam family "Bacterial small subunit ribosomal RNA", at positions 28 to 507 of the family's 1533-position model. The record is from RNAcentral.
GACGAACGCUGGCGGCGUGCUUAACACAUGCAAGUCGAACGGAAAGGCCCUGCUUUUGUGGGGUGCUCGAGUGGCGAACGGGUGAGUAACACGUGAGUAACCUGCCCUUGACUUUGGGAUAACUUCAGGAAACUGGGGCUAAUACCGGAUAGGAGCUCCUGCUGCAUGGUGGGGGUUGGAAAGUUUCGGCGGUUGGGGAUGGACUCGCGGCUUAUCAGCUUGUUGGUGGGGUAGUGGCUUACCAAGGCUUUGACGGGUAGCCGGCCUGAGAGGGUGACCGGCCACAUUGGGACUGAGAUACGGACCAGACUCCAACGGGAGGCAGCAGUGGGGAGUAUUGCACAAUGGGCGGAAGCCUGAUACGGCAGCCCCGCGUGCGGGAUGACGGCCUUCGGGUUGUAAACCGCUUUCGCCUGUGACGAUGCGUGAGUGACGGUAAUGGGUAAAGAAGCACCGGCUAACUACGUG